CUACGGGCGGCAGCAGUCGCGGAACUUUUACAAUGCACGCAAGUGUGAUAAAGCAAGCCAAAGUGUUUUUCGUAUAGAAAAACUUUUUCUUAGUGUAAAAACCUAGGAGAAUAAGGACUGGGAAAGACUGGUGCCAGCCGCCGCGGUAAUACCAGCAGUUCAAGUUGCAUCCCUUUUUAUUGGGUCUAAAGCAUCCGUAGCUUGCCGUUUAAGUCUCUUGUGAAAUCCUACGUCUCAAGCGUGGGGCUUGCAGGAGAUACUGGACGGCUAGAGAUCGGUAGACGUAAGGAGUACGCCGGGGGUAAUGGUAAAAUAUGUUAAUCCUCGGUGGACUAACAAUCAGCGAAGGCACCUUACGAGGACGAAUCUGACAGUGAGGGAUGAAGGCCAGGGGCGCAAAACGGAUUAGAUACCCCAGUAGUC
This 423-nucleotide ribosomal RNA is filed under the name uncultured archaeon. RNAcentral's name for it is "partial 16S ribosomal RNA". It matches the Rfam family "Archaeal small subunit ribosomal RNA", at positions 323 to 746 of the family's 1478-position model. The record is from RNAcentral.